Molecule: ribosomal RNA, 301 nt
Filed under: uncultured bacterium
Lineage: Bacteria
Description: partial 16S ribosomal RNA
Rfam family: Bacterial small subunit ribosomal RNA
Source: RNAcentral
CAGUCGCCGCGGGAAUACGGAGGGGGCUAGCGUUGUUCGGAAUUACUGGGCAUAAAGCGGGCGUAGGCGGCUUUGUAAGUUAGAGGUGAAAGCCUGGAGCUUAACUCCAGAAUUGCCUUUAAGACUGCAUCGCUUGAAUCCGAGAGAGGUGAGUGGAAUUCCGAGUGUAGAGGUGAAAUUCGUAGAUAUUCGGGAGAACACCAGGGGCGAAGGCGGCUCACUGGCUCGGUAUUGACGCUGAGGUGCGAAAGCGUGGGGAGCAAACAGGAUUAGAUACCCGCGUAGUCCCUGUCUCUUAUAC